RNAcentral lists this ribosomal RNA (468 nucleotides) under uncultured bacterium. Its description in RNAcentral is "partial 16S ribosomal RNA". It matches the Rfam family "Bacterial small subunit ribosomal RNA", at positions 28 to 507 of the family's 1533-position model. The record is from RNAcentral.
GACGAACGCUGGCGGCGUGCCUAACACAUGCAAGUCGAACGGAAAGGUCCUGCCUUUGUGGGCUGGUCUGCUUGCCACCGGGGAACCAACCCGUAGGUUCCCUGCCCUUGCCCUUGGGAUAUCUUCAGGCAGCUUGAGCUCAUACCGCCUAAGAUCUCCCGCUGUAUGGUGGGCGUGGGUAAGUUUCGGCGGUUGGUGAUGGACUCGCGGCGUAUCAGGUUGUUGGAUGGGUAGUGGCUUACCAAGGCCUGGCGCGGUAGCAGGGCUGGGAGGGUGAGCGGCCACAUUGGGACGGGGAUGCGGCCCAGACUCCAACGGGAGGCAGCGGUGGGGAAGAGUGCACAAGGGGCGGAAGCCUGGUGCAGCAACGCCGCGUGCGGGAUGACGGCCUUCGGGUUGUAUACCGAUUCCGCCUGUGACGAAGCGUGAGUGACGGUAAUGGGUAAAGAAGCACCGGCUAACUACGUG